RNAcentral lists this ribosomal RNA (253 nucleotides) under uncultured bacterium. Its description in RNAcentral is "partial 16S ribosomal RNA". It matches the Rfam family "Bacterial small subunit ribosomal RNA", at positions 524 to 776 of the family's 1533-position model. The record is from RNAcentral.
UACGUAGGGUGCGAGCGUUAAUCGGAAUUACUGGGCGUAAAGCGUGCGCAGGCGGUUGCUGAAGUCCGUUGUGAAAGCCCCGGGCUUAACCUGGGAAUGGCAGUGGAAACUAGGCGACUUGAAUCUGGCAGAGGGGGGUGGAAUGCCACGUGUAGCAGUGAAAUGCGUAGAGAUGUGGCGGAACACCGAUGGCGAAGGCAGCCCCCUGGGUCAAGAUUGACGCUCAGGCACGAAAGCGUGGGGAGCAAACAGG